AGCGGCGAACGGGUGAGUAACACGUAGGUGAUCUGCCCAUCAGACGGGGACAACGAUUGGAAACGAUCGCUAAUACCGGAUAGGACGAAAGUUUAAAGGUGCUUCUGGCACCGCUGAUGGAUGAGCCUGCGGCGCAUUAGCUAGUUGGUAGGGUAAAGGCCUACCAAGGCGACGAUGCGUAGCCGACCUGAGAGGGUGAACGGCCACACUGGGACUGAGACACGGCCCAGACUCCUACGGGAGGCAGCAGUAGGGAAUCUUCGGCAAUGGGCGAAAGCCUGACCGAGCAACGCCGCGUGAAUGAUGAAGGCCUUCGGGUUGUAAAAUUCUGUUAUAAGGGAAGAACGACUUUAGUAGGAAAUGGCUAGAGUGUGACGGUACCUUAUGAGAAAGCCACGGCUAACUACGUGCCAGCAGCCGCGGUAAUACGUAGGUGGCGAGCGUUAUCCGGAAUUAUUGGGCGUAAAGAGCGCCCAGGUGGUUGAUUAAGUCUGAUGUGAAAGCCCACGGCUUAACCGUGGAGGGUCAUUGGAAACUGGUCGACUUGAGUGCAGAAGAGGGAAGUGGAAUUCCAUGUGUAGCGGUGAAAUGCGUAGAGAUAUGGAGGAACACCAGUGGCGAAGGCGGCUUCCUGGUCUGUAACUGACACUGAGGCGCGAAAGCGUGGGGAGCAAACAGGAUUAGAUACCCUGGUAGUCCACGCCGUAAACGAUGAGUGCUAAGUGU
RNAcentral lists this ribosomal RNA (726 nucleotides) under uncultured bacterium. RNAcentral describes it as "bacterial SSU rRNA". It matches the Rfam family "Bacterial small subunit ribosomal RNA", at positions 94 to 823 of the family's 1533-position model. The record is from RNAcentral.